GACUGCCGCUUUGUACAACUUGAGCAGCUGAUUACCAAGUCCUAUAGCAUAUUCCACUACUCGACACUUAAGUCAAGCCAGUCUUCAGCAACAACAAUAUCUAUGGCCAAACCCAAAAUAUUUUUACUUGAUUCAAAUGCAAAAGGAGCUUUAUAUCUAUAAACAACAUUGGACCUAGAAAAGGUUAGAUACUAGGUCAAGUUUCAAGUAAAGAUUAGGUAUUUAACAAGUUAUUUAGCUAUAAUUUUGAGUUAUUUUUUGAAUUAUUUAAUGCAUCUAAUAUGUAAUCUUAUAAACCGUAAAACAUGAAAAAUAUAAUGAUAUAAAACAUAUAAAAGUUGGAUCUAAAAGAGGCUAUCUACUCAACUAUUGCUUUAAUACUUAAGCAUUCACAUGCAAUCAAAGAAUAUGAAGCAUGGAAAAGAUCCUACAAUAAUCAAACUUAGCAAAAAAGUUAAACCACAA
RNAcentral lists this long non-coding RNA (465 nucleotides) under Phoenix dactylifera (date palm). Its description in RNAcentral is "long non-coding RNA (PDAC_LNC008330)". Lineage: Eukaryota; Viridiplantae; Streptophyta; Magnoliopsida; Arecales; Arecaceae. The record is from RNAcentral.